UCCACACAUGAAUUAUCACAGAAAAACGAAGAUUUUUCAUAGUUCCAUUUUUAUUUUUUUUGUACUUCUACGUCGUCAAGUAUGUUGGUGGUUAGAACACUUUCGUGCCCAUUCACCAUGACCGGUUAUUGGUUACUUGAAAAGUAUCAGUACUCUUUUAUUAUCGUUUUCUUUUUGUUUACAGUAUAUGUGUGUUUACAGAAUGUAGUGAUAUGAAUGGAAUACACGAGAAAUCAAAACAAAAAAAAAAUCAAAACUAAAGGAAAAAAUAAAGAACUGUAAGCAAAUAUGAUGAUUAUUUACAAAUAAAAGUCAAACUUCAAUUUUGCAAAGUGCAAUAAAGUUGAUUAAUUCAUCUAUAUUUUGUUGGUUUUUGGACAUCAGGAUUUCCGGUUUCACAAAGAUUUGAGUCAGCAAUUCCAAUCCUGUGGAAAUAUUUUUUGGUGUAAGUAUGACCAGUGAGCAAUCGAUUAACAAUCUUUAUGUUUUCAGGUUUCAUAUUUGAUGAAAAGAACCAGGACUGUUUAGCAGGCGCCGGGAAGAAUUUGUAGAAGUAAGUUCCUUUAGUCCGUGAGAUGUCCUUGUAAUUUUCUAUAAACUCAUUCCACAGGAGUGACUCAAUGCGUUUCGACGCAUCUGUGACCGACAGACAGAAGUUGAUUGGUGAACCAACAUUUGCUGCAUGCUUCGCAAAAUAAUCGGCUGUUUCAUUGAUUGGUAUACCGACAUGGGAAGGUGUCCAAACAAACGAGAUUUUAUUUAAAUGCGAAUUAACUAUUUUGUUUAGAAUAUUGUACACAGUGAAAUUGUGAGAUGUGUUGUUUUUAAGCAGAAGACAAGCAUUUUUGCUGUCUGUAAAUAAAGCAGCUGUGCUGACACCGUCUUCGAUCAUCAAA
Musca domestica (house fly) is the source of this 896-nucleotide long non-coding RNA. RefSeq lists it as uncharacterized. The transcript is spliced from 2 exons. The record is from RefSeq and is a predicted model, not a curated record. Lineage: Eukaryota; Metazoa; Arthropoda; Insecta; Diptera; Muscidae.